Molecule: ribosomal RNA, 468 nt
Filed under: uncultured bacterium
Lineage: Bacteria
Description: partial 16S ribosomal RNA
Rfam family: Bacterial small subunit ribosomal RNA
Source: RNAcentral
GACGAACGCUGGCGGCGUGCUUAACACAUGCAAGUCGAACGGAAAGGCCCUGCUUUUGUGGGUUGCUCGAGUUGCGAACGGGUGAGUAACACGUGAGUAACCUGCCCUUGACUUUGGGAUAACUUCAGGAAACUGGGGCUAAUACCGGAUAGGAGCUCCUGCUGCAUGGUGGGUGUUGGAAAGUUUCGGCGGUUGGGGAUGGACUCGCGGCUUAUCAGCUUGUUGGUGGGGUAGUGGCUUACCAAGGCUUUGACGGGUAGCCGGCCUGAGAGGGUGACCGGCCACAUUGGGACUGAGAUACGGCCCAGACUCCUACGGGAGGCAGCAGUGGGGAAUAUUGCACAAUGGGCGGAAGCCUGAUGCAGCAACGCCGCGUGCGGGAUGACGGCCUUCGGGUUGUAAACCGCUUUCGCCUGUGACGAAGCGUGAGUGACGGUAAUGGGUAAAGAAGCACCGGCUAACUACGUG